UCCUAUCUGGACAUGGAGUACACAUGACUCUCUCAGAAGAAGUAAUUUUUGAGCUGGUUAGGAGGGAAGUACACACUGACAGGUGGAAGAAGCAACAGAAGGCAGGAGAAAGAAGAAUUUCUUUUACAUAAGGAGGAAAGAAUAUAUGGAAACAUGAAAAGUUUGUAAUUGCUCAGCUAGGUGUUUUUUCCCUUCUACCACAUUUAAAAGAUGAUGGAAUCCUGAAGGACACCAGAACCAUAAAAUGAAAGGUCUCCUAUUCUCUGAAUAGUCACAGAGUACAAAACCUCCCAAAAUACCAGCUUCCCACUAUUGCAUGAGCAGGAAUAAACUUCUCUUGUGCUAAGCCACUGGA
Molecule: long non-coding RNA, 355 nt
Organism: Felis catus (domestic cat)
Lineage: Eukaryota; Metazoa; Chordata; Mammalia; Carnivora; Felidae
Exons: 2
Source: RefSeq, a predicted model, not a curated record